GACGAACGCUGGCGGCGUGCUUAACACAUGCAAGUCGAACGAAGAGCGACGGAAGCUUGCUUCUAUCAAUCUUAGUGGCGAACGGGUGAGUAACGCGUAAUCAACCUGCCCUUCAGAGGGGGACAACAGUUGGAAACGACUGCUAAUACCGCAUACGAUCUGACCUCGGCAUCGAGGAUGGAUGAAAGGUGGCCUCUAUGUAUAAGCUAUCACUGAAGGAGGGGAUUGCGUCUGAUUAGCUAGUUGGAGGGGUAACGGCCCACCAAGGCGAUGAUCAGUAGCCGGUCUGAGAGGAUGAACGGCCACAUUGGGACUGAGACACGGCCCAGACUCCUACGGGAGGCAGCAGUGGGGAAUCUUCCGCAAUGGACGAAAGUCUGACGGAGCAACGCCGCGUGAGUGAUGACGGCCUUCGGGUUGUAAAGCUCUGUUAAUCGGGACGAAAGGCCUUCUUGCGAACAGU
This 463-nucleotide ribosomal RNA is filed under the name Veillonella dispar. Its description in RNAcentral is "bacterial SSU rRNA". It matches the Rfam family "Bacterial small subunit ribosomal RNA", at positions 28 to 467 of the family's 1533-position model. The record is from RNAcentral. Lineage: Bacteria; Bacillati; Bacillota; Negativicutes; Veillonellales; Veillonellaceae.